Molecule: non-coding RNA, 1073 nt
Organism: Nomia melanderi (Alkali bee)
Lineage: Eukaryota; Metazoa; Arthropoda; Insecta; Hymenoptera; Halictidae
Source: RefSeq, a predicted model, not a curated record
UUUAUUAGGGGUGAAACUUGUUACUUACUGUCACGUUAUCCAUAUUUUACAACAACAUCCACAACAGGAUACAAUUAAUCUAUACUCCAAAUAUGCUGAGCGAUCUGCCAAAAAAACAUAUUCGGAGUAACAUAACUGUCACCAUCGAAACAAUGCUAAAGUACAUCGAGCAAAGGUCAAUAGUGUGUUAAUAGGUGUAAAGGUCACUAAGAAUGAGAAAUAAUAUCAUUUAAUGCAUAAUUCGUUGUUGACCAAGUUGUACAAAAAGGCACAAUAGAAAAAUUUGUUUCUUACAAAAUAAUUAGCGUCAAAUGAAGUACUUCAAUAAUAUCCCAUUCAAGCAUUUGUGGCGGUCGACGCGGACAGCCACGAGUGUAGCGCAGCAGCGCGGACCGUGGAGAGAGUCGGUCGUCCGUCGAUCGUCAGUUGUCUCCAGCAUGGAUACCAAAAAAUGUAUAAAAGGACGGGUCCACGCUGGACGAUAGUUAGUGUGUGUAAAUCUAUAAGCGCAGCAUUAUGCGCCCCACACAUUAUUAAUGUUUAAAUUUUUAACUCUUGAAAUAUUUUGUAUUUUCAAAUUUUAAUUUUUCUGAGAUAUAUAAUAAUUGAAAGAUUUAAUAUAGUUACCAACAUAAAACAAAUCUCAUGUACAAAGUUAACAAAUUAUUUAUUUAUAUUUAAAUAAUAUAUUAUAAAAGAAACUAAUUAACUCAAGUAAUAUUCUUUGAGAUGUUGAGAUGUUGGCUUAAGAAUUGCUUCAUCUUUAAGACUAACAACCCAACCGGGUUCAAGGCCAUAGAAUAUCUGUCUUGGAUCUUUACGCUGUGUAAGCAUUUCAUAGUCUGGAUCAUCUUCAAUUUUUGGAAGUACAUAACCAUAUUUUUGAGAUAAAACCAGUCGUUCCUUAGAAAUUUCCUCAGGAUUUGCUAAAUACCCUCUCGUUGCUGCACUUGAAUAGUACUCCAAACAGUCUGUUGGUGGUAAGAAUCUACGAGGUAUAGGUACUCCUAAAUUAAUAAAGCUUUAAUUAUAAUACUGUUCAAAACAAAAUCAUCCAAACACUGAUCUAAAAA